RNAcentral lists this ribosomal RNA (497 nucleotides) under uncultured bacterium. Its description in RNAcentral is "partial 16S ribosomal RNA". It matches the Rfam family "Bacterial small subunit ribosomal RNA", at positions 28 to 507 of the family's 1533-position model. The record is from RNAcentral.
GAUGAACGCUGGCGGCGUGCCUAAUACAUGCAAGUCGAGCGAACAGAUGAGGAGCUUGCUCCUCUGACGUUAGCGGCGGACGGGUGAGUAACACGUGGAUAACCUACCUAUAAGACUGGGAUAACUUCGGGAAACCGGAGCUAAUACCGGAUAAUAUAUUGAACCGCAUGGUUCAAUAGUGAAAGACGGUUUUGCUGUCACUUAUAGAUGGAUCCGCGCCGCAUUAGCUAGUUGGUAAGGUAACGGCUUACCAAGGCAACGAUGCGUAGCCGACCUGAGAGGGUGAUCGGCCACACUGGAACUGAGACACGGUCCAGACUCCUACGGGAGGCAGCAGCAGGGAAUCUUCCGCAAAGGGCGAAAGCCUGACGGAGCAACGCCGCGUGAGUGAUGAAGGUCUUCGGAUCGUAAAACUCUGUUAUUAGGGAAGAACAAAUGUGUAAGUAACUAUGCACGUCUUGACGGUACCUAAUCAGAAAGCCACGGCUAACUACGUG